CUCAGAUGUGACUCACUUUAUUUUCUGCAGAAUAUUAUCGUGGUUUUGAAGUAUUGCUCGAGGAUUACCUUAAAGAGACUUGCAGAGCGGUUAUGCCUCAGUAUCCAGGAAGCUGAGAAGCAUCUCUUCUUAGUGUUUGUUUCCAAGGACCUGGUGGCGAUGGCAAAGAUAGACUGGCCAAUGAGAAUUGUCAGUUUGGAAACGGCAAUGGACAGCAAUGAGAUUUUGAGCUCAGGCGACAAAUUUGGAAAAGCUGCCUGACCUUGUUGAGAAAAAGCUGCCACUAGAUCCCCAAGGAAACCAUGUUUCAUAAGGUUGCUUUGAGUGCUUGAAGAUGUUUUUAGCUGAAUGAAUGAUCUCUCUCCCUAAGGCCUCCCUCCCCUCUCUCUCUCUCACUGAAGAAUGCUGUUUCACAUUGUGGUGGGGACUGGAGAUAUUGAUCAUAGAACUCUCACGUAGCUGUCUUAAAUUUUGAUUGCAUAUUUUGCGGGGGGACCAGAUCCUGGCCUUGUUUUGGACGGAAAUGAUAUAUUGAAUGCACUUUCUGUAUAGGAAUGGAGUUUGGUCUUUUCCUCUUUCCUCUUUGCCCCUCCUUUUAAUUGAAAAUGUGUGGGCUUUUAGGGUCCAGAACUUGUACCAAUGGGACAGGUGUCAGCACAAGAUGUCACUCAUUUGGAUUGUAAUAAGCGCCUUGUUACA
Eucalyptus grandis is the source of this 699-nucleotide long non-coding RNA. RefSeq lists it as uncharacterized. Lineage: Eukaryota; Viridiplantae; Streptophyta; Magnoliopsida; Myrtales; Myrtaceae. The record is from RefSeq and is a predicted model, not a curated record. The transcript has 2 exons.